RNAcentral lists this long non-coding RNA (1624 nucleotides) under Chlamydomonas reinhardtii. Its description in RNAcentral is "long non-coding RNA (CREI_LNC000420)". The record is from RNAcentral. Lineage: Eukaryota; Viridiplantae; Chlorophyta; Chlorophyceae; Chlamydomonadales; Chlamydomonadaceae.
GAGCAUUCAUCAACACGGCUGUGCAUCCACUGCGCCCAGCCAAGCUGGGAAGGCUGCUCUGGUCUUAGUAUGCUGCAUCCUUCAACCGUAGAUUCCAAUGUACGCUGACACCGUUAAGCAGCAUUGUCAGUACUGCACACCACCUGCGGUAGGCCACCCGGCGUCUGUCAAUAUGACUGAACAAGCCCCCGUGUGCCCCACAACCCUUUGGUUUGGCGGUGUUUAGAAACACCGGACAUACAUAGUGACGGGGUGACAGCACGAACUUGCAGGCUCCUUCUCAGCCCGCUCAAUUGCUGAUUGCACGACAGGAUACUGCGGCUGCAGCCUCACUUGCGUCCUGCGCUCCACGGCCUCCUGCCACCUGCUAUGCUGGCAGUCACACAUGCACGCGUCGCCAUACAGACACAGUGACAUACAUGAAUGCGCAACUCUGCAUCCAUCCUCGGCACUCAAUUUGCCCUGCCACACAACUACAGUAUGAAAUAGAUUAUGGGUGGAGCAGCGGGAAGCCCAUCCAUCAGCAUGCAUUCCCGACUUGCGACCACGCAACCACAAACCUGCACGGGCACGGGCAGAAAUGACAGCAUCACACCCCUCUCAUUAGGCUGACUGCCGGGGGCAGCUACCUCGCCCCACGCAUUCCCCUGGGGCCGCAGCUCCAGUCACCCUAAGCAACACGCUGUGGUACAUGCUCCACGACUACCAACGGCUCAAUGUAACAUCCGCCAUAUGUGCAUAGCGUGCCUCACCACCCACAGCAGCGCGCCCCUGGCUCCACGACCCGUUCAAGAAAUUGCACAUCUGCACACACACCUGUACCUGCAGUAGGCCUGCCCCCAGCGUGUCUUCCACUGCCGCCCACGCCUUUGCCAGCCCCCUUACAUGCGCUGCCAUCAUGGGUCCUGCCAUCACCGUGACACCUUGUCUUGAAGUUGCGCCCGCACAUUCUCCCGCCGCCCAGCCCCGCCGCCCGCCACCCUGCACAUUCAGCAUGCGCGGCAAAAGGUCUUGGAGUCGGAGGGCAUCGAUCCCCCUACCUCCCGCACAUUGUGUCGGGCGCUCAGCCACAUGCUAAGCGGGCGCUCUACCAUUUGAGCUACGACCCCAGAAGGUCCGCGGUGCACUGCACACGCUGGAAGGUCCUGCUGAGACUUGAACUCAGGUUAGCAGAUUCAGAGUCUGCUGUCCUAACCACUAGACCACAGGACCACAGGAUGCACUAGCCGAGAAUCGAACUCGGGUCUGGUCCGUACAAGCUGGAUAGAGCGGUGAGCUCAAUCCUAAGUUGGCAAGGACCUAUGCUACCACUAUACCACUAGUGCGGAUGCAUCGCCAUGGGCUCGAACGGAGCGCAGACCGCACAGAAUACACCCUCACGAGGCCGCACAGGACCCAGCUACACAGGGCAAGCGCGGGGGAGCGCGGGGGAGGCGCGCGUGGGCUCGGGGCGGGUGGGGAACACGCAGGGACGCAGCAAACAGGUGGACACGCACGCGGCCAGCUUGCGGUCCUGCGGAUAGCGCUGACAGAGUCAUAGCCGCACGCUACGCUGUGCCACUUACUCAGUUGCACGCUGCUGGCUCCAGAUAUAGUCCUUUGAAGGGCUGAGGGCGUGGUCAAC